Long non-coding RNA from Peromyscus leucopus (white-footed mouse), 388 nucleotides. RefSeq lists it as uncharacterized. The record is from RefSeq and is a predicted model, not a curated record. NCBI's taxonomy places the organism in Eukaryota, Metazoa, Chordata, Mammalia, Rodentia, Cricetidae. The transcript is spliced from 4 exons.
GCGUGUGUGUGUGUGUGUGUGUGUGUGUGUGUGUGUGUGUGUGUGUAUGCAGUUUGUAUAGAGUAUUUAAAAUCAAGACUCAGGCAAGUUUAAGGUUCAAGUGCAUGACAUCAGCACUAUUGGCCUUUGAAAGGGCCAAGUAAUUCUCUUAGAGCUGGGCGCGGUGGUGUAUGCCUGUAGUCCCAGCUACUCGGGAGGCUGAGACAGGAGGAUCGCUUGAGUCCAGGAGUUCUGGGCUGUAGUGCGUUAUGCCGAUCAGGUGUCUGCACUAAGUUCAGCAUCAAUAUGGUGACCUCCCGGGAGCGGGGGACCCUCAGGUUGCCUAAGGAGGGAUGAACCGGCCCAGGUCGGAAACGGAGCAGGUCAAAACUCCCGUGCUGGGACUAAA